RNAcentral lists this long non-coding RNA (6146 nucleotides) under Sus scrofa (pig). RNAcentral describes it as "lncRNA (ENSSSCG00015043304.1)". The record is from RNAcentral. Lineage: Eukaryota; Metazoa; Chordata; Mammalia; Artiodactyla; Suidae.
GAGAGAGGAACAAAUAAAGCUCAAAGCUAACAGAAGGAAAGAAAUAACACAGAUCAGAAUGGAAAUAAAUGAAAGAGUCUAACAAGAUAAUAGUUAACAUCACUGAAAAUAAGAGCUGUUUUACUUUGAAAAGGCAAAUAAAAUAGACAAAUCUUUAGCUCCACUCAGCAAGAAAAAAGCAGAUAGGACUCCAACAAAUAAAAUCAGAAAUGAUAGCAAUGUUACAACUGAUAACACAGAAAUGCAAAGGAUCAUAAGCUAUUACUAUGAAAAAGUAUAUGCCAACAAAUCAGAUGACUUAGAAGAGAUGGCUAAAUUCCCAGAAAUAUACAAUCUACCAAGAAUGAAUUAUAAAAAAUAGAAAAUCUUGGAGUUCCGAUUGUGAAGCAGCAGAAAUGAAUCCAUCUAGGAACCAUGAGGUUGCAAGUUCGAUCCCUAGCCUCCUUCAGUGGGUUAAGGAUCCCGCAUCGCAGUGAGCUGUGGUGUAGGUCACAGACACAGCUUGGAUACCGUGUUGCUAUGGCUCUGGCAUAGGCUGGCAGCAACAGCUCUGAUUAGACCCCUAGCCUGGGAACCUCCAUAUGCCACAGGUGCAGCCCUAAAAAGAUAGAUUUUGCUGUGUAGCACUGAGAACUAUGUCUAGAUACUUACAACACAACAAUAGGAGGAAAAAGUAUGUAUACAUGUCUGUGUAACUUGGUCCCCAUGCUGUACAGUGGGAAAAAAAAAGACAAAAAUUCAAAAAAAAAUAUAGAAAAUCUGAACAGAUUUCUUCUAAGAUUAAACCAGUAAUCAAAAAUCUCCCAACACACUAAAUUCCAGCACCAGAUGGUUUCACUGGUGAAUUCUAUCAAAAAUGUAAGAACUAAGGCCAAUCCUUCUCAAACCCUAUUUUUAUUAAUUUUACUACAUUUAUAGUUGUACAGCGAUUACCACAACUCAAUUUUAUAGCAUUUCAAAGUUAGAUGAGGAAAGGAAAUUUCCAAACUUAUUUAACAAGGCAGCAUUACCCUGUUACUGAAACAAGAACACUAUAAAAAAAGGAAAUGACAGGUAAAUACCCCUGGUGAAUACUGAUGCAAAAAUCCACAAAAAUAUCAGUAGUAAAUUGAAUUUUAAAAUGUAUUAAAAGGAUCACACGCCAUGAUCAAGUGGAUUUGUCCCAGGCAUGUAAAGGUGGUUCAACAGCCAUAAAUCAAUCAAUGUGAUAUAUCAAAUUAUCAAAACAGAGGAUAAAAAUCAUGAUCAUCUCAAUAGAAGCAGAAAAAGCAUUUGGCAAAAUUCAAUGUCUAUUUGCAAUAAAAACACUCAAUGAGCUGGGUAUAGAGGAGUUGCACCUCAACAUUACAAGGACAUAUUUGAUAAGCCCAUAGCUAACAUCUUAAGGUUGAAAGCUGAAAUACUUUUCCCUAAGAAUAGGAAUAAGAAAGCAUGUCUACUCUGACCACUUUUAUUUAACAUAGUAUUCAAAGUCCUCGCCAGAGAAAUCAGUCAAUAAAAAGAAAAAGUAUAUAUAUUGGAAAGAAAGAAAUGAAAAAGUCUCUAUUUGGAGAUGGCAUGAUAUUAUAUACAGAAAACCCUAAAGACUCCACAAAAAAAAACAGAAUAAACAAAUUCAGUUAAUCUAGAAAAAUAGUUAAUAUAUUAAAAAAGUCACUUGCAUCAUUAUAUUGCAUUUCUAUACCCUAAUAAAAAACUAUUAGAAAGAGAAAUUAAGAAAACAAUCCCAUUUGCAAUUUGUGAAAAAAUAAAAUACCUGGGAAUAAAUUUAAUCAACAAAGUGCAAGAUUUUUUUUUUAAGGGCUAUACUCAUGGCAUAUGGAAGUUCCUGGCGCUAGGGGUUGAAUCUGAGCUUUAGCUGCUGGCCUAUGCCAUAGCCACAACAAUUCUAGAUCCAAAUUGCAUCAGCAACCUACACUACAGCUUGUAGUAAUGCUGGAUCCUUAACCCACUGAGUGAGGCCAGGGAUUGAACCUGUAUCCUUAUGGAUACUAGUCAGGUUCUUAACCCACAGAGUGACAACAGAUUCCAAAAGUGCAAGAUAUUUACAUUGAAUAAUGUAAGACAUUGAUGUAGGAAAUUGAAGACAAUAAAAAUAAAUGGGAAAGUAUUACAGACUCAUGGGUUGGAAGAAUUAAUACUGUUAAACUUUGCAUGCUACCUAAAGGAAUAUACAGAUUCAACACAAUUCAACACAAUUCAAAAUUUCAAUUGAAUUUUUCACAUAAAUAGAACAAUCCUAAAAUGUGUAUGUAAUGACAAAAUACCCUAACUAGCCAAAGUAACCUUGAGAAAGGAAAACAAAUUUGGAGAUAUCAUGUUUUCUAACUAUAUUACAAAGUUUUAGUAAUCAAAAAGGUAUAUUAUUGAUAUGGAACAGACAUGUACAUCAAUGGAACAGAAUAGAGAACCCAGAAAUAAUGCAAACAUAUAUGGCCAAUUACUUUAUGAUGAAGGAGCCAAAAAUAUGUAAUUGGGAAAAGAGAGUCUCUUCAGUUAAUGGUGCUGGGAAAACUGUAUACCCACAUACGAAAGAUUUAAUUUGAAUCCCUAUUUUACAUCAUACACAAAAAUUAACUCUAAAUGGAUUAAAGACUUGGACAUAGAUCUAAAACUAUAAGGCUCCUAAAAGAAAACAAAGGUGAUAAGCUUCUUGACAUCAGUCUUGCUUAUAUUUUUUGGAUCUGACACCAAAACAAAGGCAACAAAAGCAAAAAUAAACAAGUGGGACUACAAUGAAUUUAAAAACUUCUAUAAAGCAAAGGAAACCAUCAACAAAAUGAAAAUGCAGUCUCCCAAAUAGGAGAAAAUAUUUGCAAAUCACAUAACUGAUAAGGGCUAAUAUCUAAAAUAUUCAAGGAAUUCAUACAAAUCAAUGGCAAGAAAUCCCUAACAAUUUCAUUAAAAAUGUUCAGAAGGUCUGAUUAGAUAUUUUUACCAAUGAUAACACACAGAUGGCCAAUAGGUACAUGAAAGGGUUCUCAAUAUCACUAAUCAUCAGGGAAAUACAAAUUAAAAUCACAGUGGCACAUCAUCUCAUACCUAUAAAACGGGCUUUAUUAAAAAGACAAAAAAUAAUGUGUUGGUGCAGAUGUGGAAAAAAGGGAACUGUUAGGGGUAAUGUAAGCUGGUGUAGCCACUAUGGAAAAUAGUAUGCACGUUCUUCAAAAAACAAAACAAUAGAACUACCACAUCAUCUAGAAAUUCCAUGGCUGAUAUUUAUCUGAAGGAAAUGAGACACUAACUCAAAAAAAUAUCUGCACUCCAUGUUUACCACUAUUAACAAUAGCCAAGGUGUGGAAACAACCUAAGUUUUCCAUCCAUCAGCAGAUGAACAGAUAAAGAAAAUGUGACAUCUAUUCAAUGGAAUAUUAUUCUGCUAUAAAAUAGAAGGAAAUUCUUCCAUUUGUGAGAUUACAGAUGGACCUUGUGGGCAUAGUGCUAAGUGAUGUAAGUCAGAUAGGGACAAAUGCCAUAUAAUGUCACUUAGAUGUGGAAUCUUACCAAAGGGGAGAAAAAAAAAGAACAGAUUGGUAGUUGCCAGAGUUAGGAGGUAGGGGUUAUCAGGGUCAGAUAAAUAGGUAAAAGUGUCAAAAGUUACCAACUUUCAGUUAUAAAAUUAUUAAGUCCUGGAGAUAUAAUCCAUAGUAUGGUGAACAUAGUUAAUAAUUGGGUGUUGCAUAUUUAAAAUUUGUUGAGAGUUUUUUUAUUUAUUUUUUUUAUGGCCAAACCUGUGGCAUAUGGAAGUUCCCGGGCCAGGGAUUGAAUCCAGGCCACAGCUGUGCCCUGUGCCAUAGUUGUGGCAACGCCAGAUCCUUUAACCCUCUGUACUGGGUGGGGAAUUGAACUCAUACCUUCAAAGUGACCCAAACUGCUGCAGUCAGUUUCUUAACCCAGUGCAUCACAGUGGGAACUCCAAGAGAGUAAAUCUUAAAAGUUCUCAUCACAAGAAAUAAUUUGUAACUGUAUGUGGUGAUGGAUGUUAAUUAGACUUACUGCAGUGAUUAUUUCACAGUCUAUACAUUGUAUUUUAUAUUUUGUCAUUGUAUUUUGUACCUGAAGUUAACCUAGUGUUAUAUGUUAAUUUUAUCUCAAUUUCAGAAAAAAAGGAAAACAUAGGAAAAACAAAUUAUCAGUAUGGAUUAAUAGUCCUGUUACCAUUUUCUAAUCAUAAGAUUAAUAAUGUGAUUUUUAAAAAACAAAUCCUCAAUAUUAUCUACAUAUUUUAAGUAUCUGUAAUAAUUUUGUCCCUUAAAGUACAAAUAAAUUCACCCAUACAUAAGCAUAUUACAAAAAAUGAAUACCAAAACACAUCAUUCAUGCUUUUCUAAACCUGAUCCCCAAAGCAUCAUAAAGGAAAAAAAUCUCAGUGCUAAAUCUCUUGCCUCAUUUCUUAUAGGUUAGACUAUCAUUUGCUUUGUUUUCUGUUAUCUUGCAAAUGAUCUGUAACAAAUAAUGCUAAAUACUAAAAAACAGGAGUUCCUGUUGUGGCUCAGUGGUUAACGAAUCCAACUAGGAACCAUGAGGUUUUGGGUUUGAUCCCUGGCCUUGCUCAUUGGGUUAAGGAUCCAGAGUUCCAGUGAGUUGUGGUGUAGGUCACAGAUGUGGCUCAGAUCCCACGUUGCUGUGGCUCUGGCGUAGGCUGGAGGCUACAGCUCCGAUUCGACCCCUAGCUUGGGAACCUCCAUAUGCCCUGGGUGCGGCGCUAGAAAAGACAAAAAAAAAAAAAAUACUAAGAAACAUGCUCGCCAUACUACUAAGUAUGGGUACUCAUAGUGAUUUCCUGCCAUAGUUUCUUGAAAUUGUAUGAGUCAUAUGACUUUGCCAUAACCAUGGUUUUAUUAAUAAAUUCCCUACCUUGUAAUAAAAGUAAAUAUAAAAUAAUUUGAAUUUACUACAUAUCAAAAGUGUAAUAGAUAUUACCUACAAUAGUACUAUAUAGCAUUUUCAGUUAGGGCCCUUAGGUCACUGAAGUUUUCAUUCAUUAUAGACUCAACAAUCAUUCAUGUAUUGAAUUUGUGUUAAUAUAUUAGAUUUUCAAAAACCAUGGCUUGAGAACAAUAAUUUUUCAAAUAAUAGUUACUCAAAAUAUGUUUAUUCUAGUUAUACCCAUUUUUCAAAUAUCAUAAUUAAUGCAGAUUUCAUUCUCUCAUUCCAACAAUACAUAUUUAUUAAAUAUCUACCAUGGGUUAGGCUCAGGGCAAGGAGAUACACUGUGAAUCAAUGAAAUAUAAUCCCGUCCUACUUUUACUUUACUUGAAAAUUAUACCACACAGAUCCAAAGAGUUGGGAAUUUCACUCCUUUAGAGCAAAGCCAAGUAAAGCAAGUGAAAGAGUAUUUUCCAUAGGUAUAUAUAGAUUCCAAAAGUUUAUGCAUGAAAUCUGUGAACUCCUUUCCUUAGGAGAGCAUAUUACCCUUACAGUAUGUACAGUAUUAACACGUGUAGUUCUUACAGGCAUAGAAUAGGGGUAGGAAGUCUUAAGGUGUGAAUGUGGUCUCUAUUACUACAUACUAGCCAAUGAAUAAGUCACUUAAAUCACCUUUCACACCACUAAGUAUAGAAAUGAAAUUCAGAAAGACCUACUGAUGUAUAUACUCCAUAAAUGUAUAUAGAAGUCCUGGAUGACUAGCUUGCAGAAUCAUUUAGUCUGACAUGCAAAAUGAUUUUAUGUUUUUCAUUAGUUGCAGUCAUUUGAAAUUGAGAGAAUUUACAUAAAAAUUUGGUUCUCUAGCUUCUCUUGAAAACCCAGAAGAUCUAGUAAGAAGUACCUUGAUCUUUCAUGGUUACAAUUUGCUGGAACUAAAUACAGGCUGCUCUCUUUAGAAAUGACAUUCACUCUCCACCCAUUCACUUCACUAACAUUUACUGGAUCUCUACUAUGUGCCAUCAUUAUUCCAGGUACUGAGCAAAAAGGAAACCAGCUCACUGCCAUCGUGGCACUUACAUAAUCAUUAGGAGAAACAGAAGCAAAGCUUGCCCACAAACAUCCAAUAAAACAAGUUAAUGUGAUAGUAAAUGUUGUGAUUAAAAUUAUAUAGCACAAUGGGACAGAAAGUAACUUUGCUCAAAUCCUACUUUCUCAAUGAGGCAUUCUCCAGUGAUAAUUUAACACUUUCACUACAAGUCUUCAAAUUAUAGCCCGCC